Long non-coding RNA from Hippocampus comes (tiger tail seahorse), 940 nucleotides. RefSeq lists it as uncharacterized. Lineage: Eukaryota; Metazoa; Chordata; Actinopteri; Syngnathiformes; Syngnathidae. The record is from RefSeq and is a predicted model, not a curated record. The transcript has 3 exons.
UAUGGGGGAAAAAAUACAACAGUCCCCCCAGCAUGUUUCAGUCUGUGUGCUCAUUUUGCAGCAGCUCUCUAUGGAGGCGUCCAUAAACAUGAAAUGGGAUCUUAGCGUUACUGGCAGCUUGAAUCACAUUGACUCUGGAACCCGUGGAAGCGGACGACAAGAACAUACAAGCGGCGAUAAAAUGCAGAUAAAUUUGACAGGGGAGCGCAGCGGCGCCGGGCGCUCUGAUCAGGCAUUCUCAUUGAUGAAUUGGAUCACUGCGAUGCUCUCAAGAAGCCUCAGGAGCAACAGAAAAAACACACGUGGACUUUGAGCACAAUGUGACACAACCCGGGUAUGUACAAAGCAUUAAAAGUUGCACAUUUUGGAAACCGACACACAUUUUCAGGAAAAAAUAUGCCUUGGGAGUGCCUUCAGAACAUGACAGAUGGCAAUCGCACAUCACACAUUGCUCAAUUUGAUUUUCAAAAUAUGUCGAUGGACAAGGUCUUUUUUAGAUGAUGUUUAAAACUAAAAAGUUAACGUGUGUGUAAAAUAGUUCUCAUAUUAUACGGGCGAUGAAUUGCACUUGUCAUAGUUUGGCUAGUCCUGCGACUCAGGUGCGACUUGUAUAUAUUCAAAUUAGAGCUUGGACUAACACCCCAAAUCUCCGUUCCCUGAUCACAUUUACUUUUUGACAUUUGGCAAUUAUUUUUGGUGUUUGCUAACCGCAAAAAUAAAGAAGUAGUCGUAGUAGUGGUAGUAGUUGUCGUCGUCAUGACAACUACUGUGUGAUGUGAUAGCUAGUUUAACACACGCCUUCCUUGUGCCCAAACAAUUAUCUACAGCACCAAAAGACGCAAUAACCGACCAGAGUUCAACCUGUGGCCAAAAUAUGACAGGGGAUUCUAGUUAAGGUAUGCUAUUUUAAACUAAAAAGAAAAACCUUUCGGGAGUUAAA